Molecule: ribosomal RNA, 522 nt
Filed under: uncultured fungus
Lineage: Eukaryota; Fungi
Description: eukaryotic LSU rRNA
Rfam family: Eukaryotic large subunit ribosomal RNA
Source: RNAcentral
CUAGUAACGGCGAGUGAAGCGGCAACAGCUCAAAUUUGAAAUCUGGCGUCUUUGGCGUCCGAGUUGUAAUUUGCAGAGGAUGCUUCUAGGUAGUCAUCAGUCUAAGUUCCUUGGAACAGGACGUCACAGAGGGUGAGAAUCCCGUAUGUGACUGACAGGCGCCUUCUACGUAGCUCCUUCGACGAGUCGAGUUGUUUGGGAAUGCAGCUCUAAAUGGGAGGUAAAUUUCUUCUAAAGCUAAAUAUCUGCCAGAGACCGAUAGCGCACAAGUAGAGUGAUCGAAAGAUGAAAAGCACUUUGGAAAGAGAGUUAAAAAGCACGUGAAAUUGUUGAAAGGGAAGCGUUUAUUACCAGACUUGUUGGCGGUAUUCACCUGGUCUUUUGGCUGGGCUACUUGCCGUCUGCAGGCCAGCAUCAUCUGAGGCCGUGGGAUAAUAGUUAUGGAAUGUAGCUCCUCGGAGUGUUAUAGCCAGAACUGAUGCCACGAGCUUCGGGUGAGGUCCGCGCAUUGCUAGGAUGCUG